UACAGAGGUCUCAAGCGUUGUUCGGAUUCAUUGGGCGUAAAGGGUGCGUAGGUGGCGCCGUAAGUCAGGUGUGAAAUUUCGGAGCUUAACUCCGAAACUGCAUUUGAUACUGCGGUGCUUGAGGACUGGAGAGGAGACUGGAAUUCACGGUGUAGCAGUGAAAUGCGUAGAUAUCGUGAGGAAGACCAGCGGCGAAGGCGGGUCUCUGGACAGUUCCUGACACUGAGGCACGAAGGCCAGGGGAGCAAACGGG
RNAcentral lists this ribosomal RNA (253 nucleotides) under uncultured bacterium. RNAcentral describes it as "partial 16S ribosomal RNA". It matches the Rfam family "Bacterial small subunit ribosomal RNA", at positions 524 to 776 of the family's 1533-position model. The record is from RNAcentral.